RNAcentral lists this long non-coding RNA (684 nucleotides) under Lupinus angustifolius (narrow-leaved blue lupine). Its description in RNAcentral is "long non-coding RNA (LANG_LNC001680)". Lineage: Eukaryota; Viridiplantae; Streptophyta; Magnoliopsida; Fabales; Fabaceae. The record is from RNAcentral.
AAUCCCUCAAUUGCAAAACAGAUAUUGCUCCGCCUCUAGUGCGACCAUCAGCACCGCUGCCGCACUGCACCAAUACUACGCCCCACCUGCCAUCACCACGCAGCAACCAGACCCGCCAGCAGCCAGCACUGUCACACCGCCACCAGCACCGCCCAGAUCCGCCCCCUGCAACGAGAUCCAACAGCACCGCCACACCAUUUACACAACUGAACACGUCAUCACACAUAAACAAAAGAACCCCAUAUGCAAGAACUAAGACUCUAUAAUUCAAGAGAACAAAAGGUGGAUAAGAUGCAGAAUGAGUCCUCGAUUUAAAUUAUUCAGUUCAACACAUUAAAACUAGUAAUCGAAUUUCAAUAUGUGAAAGUUUAAAUUUUAUAAUAUAUAUAAAGAGGAAUUCGUUGUUGUGUCUGGUGGGUGCUAACUGCUAGGUAUGGUUGCAGGGAGAGGCAAAUGUGGGCAGUGCUGAUUGUUGGCGGGUCUAGUUGUUGGGCGGUCAUAGCAGGUUGGCCACAGCAUUGCUGACAGCUGCAACCAUGGCGGAUUGGCGGGGCAAUAUCUGGUUUGGGGUUGAGUGAUUUUUGUUGUUUUGAGAUAACUAGCUUAGUGGGGAAGAGGAUGAGGGGUGGAUCCUUUUUGUAAAAUGGAAAUUAUGAAAAUAUCCGUAUUGCUAAUUCUAUUGCA